Molecule: long non-coding RNA, 557 nt
Filed under: Bos taurus (domestic cattle)
Lineage: Eukaryota; Metazoa; Chordata; Mammalia; Artiodactyla; Bovidae
Description: long non-coding RNA NONBTAT024534
Source: RNAcentral
UUUAAACUUUAAAAGGUAUUUUAUUAUCUCUGGCAUUUUCAUCUAUAGUGACAUUUAUAUACACAUACUUAGAGGAGGGUAUGUGCAUGGGAGAUAUAUUCCUUGGAACUUUGGAUAAAAUCCAUUAAUAAAAUCCAUUUUUCCAUCACUAAUUUCAUUUACAACUAAAGCAGCACACAAGUAAAUUUAAGACUUUGCUUUUGAUAAUAAUUUCGUAUCAUUUGAAUGUGAGAAAUUCUUCAGAAUUGUGUUUAGGUUAUAAAUUUCGUACAAUCUCAUUUUGCACUGAGAUUAAACUAUCUGUACAAUGUGAUAACCAUAUAGUUUAAUAGUUAUCGACAAAAUUUAAUGGCAUCAAGAAUACUCUUAAGUCUACCUGGGUUUUUAUUUUUUCACUCUGCACUCUUCUUUUUUCUUCAAAGCAUGAAAGACCCCUGUGCAAAUACAGAGCCUUUGUUUUUCCUUCCCUGUACUUUGGUACAUUGCUUUCCUUAAUAUAGCAGCAUCCUUAGCUUUUGUAGUAUUUUACUUAGUGGCAACUGAAGAAAAUCACUAGC